Molecule: ribosomal RNA, 254 nt
Filed under: uncultured bacterium
Lineage: Bacteria
Description: partial 16S ribosomal RNA
Rfam family: Bacterial small subunit ribosomal RNA
Source: RNAcentral
GACGAACCGUACGAACGUUAUUCGGAAUCAUUGGGCUUAAAGGGCGCGUAGGCGGCGGCGUAAGUUCGUGGUGAAAUCCCAUCGGCUCAACCGUGGAAUCGCUUCGAAUACUGCGUCGCUCGAGUGGGAUAGGGGACCGCAGAACUGCCGGUGGAGCGGUGAAAUGUGUUGAUAUCGGCGGGAAUGCCAGUGCCGAAAGGGGCGGUCUGGACCCUCACUGACGCUGAGGCGCGAAAGCUAGGGGAGCAAACGGG